Molecule: ribosomal RNA, 246 nt
Filed under: Staphylococcus haemolyticus
Lineage: Bacteria; Bacillati; Bacillota; Bacilli; Caryophanales; Staphylococcaceae
Description: partial 23S ribosomal RNA
Rfam family: Bacterial large subunit ribosomal RNA
Source: RNAcentral
UGAGGCCGACAGGCGUAGGCGAUGGAUAACAGGUUGAUAUUCCUGUACCACCUAGCAUCGUUUUAAUCGAUGGGGGGACGCAGUAGGAUAGGCGAAGCGUACGAUUGGAUUGUACGUCUAAGCAGUGGGAUUGAGUGUUAGGCAAAUCCGGCACUCUUAAGAUUGAGCUGUGAUGGGGAGAGGAAAUUGUUUCCUCGAGUCGUUGAUUUCACACUGCCGAGAAAAGCCUCUAGAUAGAUAAUAGGU